AAUGUGGCGACCCCAAAUCCGGAUACUUGAAACCCGAACUCGGUUCUCCACGAUACCAUUUCUUUAAGCUGAAUAAUACUAAAUAAUAAUAAUAUAAUUCGAACUUAAUUUACAUACAUCAAAGUUUACUUUCCCAGGUACGUGACCUUCAAAUACAUUCCUUACAAUACCUGACAAUAGAUUCCAUUGUCUUACUAACUAUAACCAUUAACUCAUACUAAAUCUCAUUCGAAUAGCUUUUCUUUUCCCUUGUUCGUGCCUGAGCCUUCAGGUCGAUCGUACGUAACUGAAAACAUUUAGUUUAAGCAAGGAUGAGCAUUUGAGUGCCCAGCAAGUAAUAGCAAUUAUAUAUAUAAGCUGAAAGAAUAUAAGUAUUCUCUUUACAUAACACUUCUACAACGAAUCGAAAGUUGUGAAGUAAUCUGUACUGAUAAAAAAUUCACAUAACAACUCUCUUUCAAAUUCUUUAAAUUUGGCUCUGGCUCUACCCUUGAAUAGGGUUUAAGAAACAUACUAUGAACAUU
RNAcentral lists this long non-coding RNA (524 nucleotides) under Panax ginseng (ginseng). RNAcentral describes it as "long non-coding RNA (PGIN_LNC010409)". The record is from RNAcentral. Lineage: Eukaryota; Viridiplantae; Streptophyta; Magnoliopsida; Apiales; Araliaceae.